This is a long non-coding RNA of Octopus bimaculoides (California two-spot octopus), 1535 nucleotides long. RefSeq lists it as uncharacterized. Lineage: Eukaryota; Metazoa; Mollusca; Cephalopoda; Octopoda; Octopodidae. The record is from RefSeq and is a predicted model, not a curated record.
UCUGCUGCUAUUCACUUAACACGUGACUGCCAACGUUGCCUUGAUCAGUUCGUUACUUUGUUAUUUUCCAUGUCUCACUCACAUCUGCUCUCCCUACUAUAACACAUACACUUACACGUGCUGAAUAAGAUAAACCUCCAUCUUGAUUUAACACAGAAGCAGCAAAGCAUCAGUUUAUACACCUGGCCGUAUAAACACCUACAUUCUUCUACGUUCUGAGUUCAGAUCCCAUCGAAGUUGACUUUGCCGUUUAUCCAGUAUCAUCUUAAAGUGUGAGCAUACUGGGUAGCCGCCUAAGGGCCUUAUGGGUCUAGGGUCUCGCACAUCUAAGGGCCCAAAUUCUGAUCUAUGUAUUCUGUAGCUUGCUGUCAAUCCUUUCUUCUAUAGGCACAAAGCCUGAAAUUUUUGUCAGGAAGGGGCUAGUUGAUUACAUCUAACCCAAGUGCACAACUGGUACUUAUUUCAUCAACUCUGAAAGAUGAAAGGUAAAGCUGACUUUGGCAGAAUUUGAAUUCAGAAUAUAAAGAUGGAUGAAAUGCUUAACAGCACUUUGUACGGCACAAGGCCCCGAAGUUUUUGGUGAAGGGGCCAGUCGAUUAGAUUGGCCCCAGUAUGCAACUGGUACUUAAUUUAUAUACCCCAAAAGGAUAAAAGGCAAAGUCAACCUCGGCAGAAUUUUAACUCAGAAUGUAAAGACAGAUAAAAUACGGCUAAGCAUUUUACCCAGCAUGCUAACAUUUCUGCCAGCUCGCCACCUUACACAUAUAUAUAUAUAUAUUACAUGCACACAGGCAUACAUAGGCAAACAUACAUACAAACGCACAAACACCUACACCCACAUACACAUGAAUGAAUGAGUGAAUGAAUGAAUGAAUAAAUAAAUGAACGAAUGAAUGAACAAACAUAUGAAUGGAAACUGUGCUGAAAUUUAACAACAACAACAAAGUACAUUGAAAGAGAAAAGUCUUUUGAUAGUAAAAAAAAAUUUGGGAGUGUUGGUCAGGUGGAGAGAAUGUAGCAUUGAAUACUUGCUUUAUUCAGAUGUUGCUCACCUUAUUCUAAUGAAGCAGUUAAAGUGAUGAAAUACAAUUUGCUUUAGUACUGGAAGACAAUUAUAAGUGAAUGGCAUGGCCUUUAUUUAAUGUAUCCGAUGUUCUUUUACUUGAUCAACAUAGGAUCAAUGAUGUAUCAGGCCUACGUUUAAUAGAAAUGUAGGUUUAACAGUGUAUUUACAGCAUUGUCAUUAUGCCUGUGAAUGUAAGUGUGUGUGUGUGUAGCUGCUGCUGCCAACGUGACUCAGCAACAAUAAGAAGGAAACAAAGCACCAGCACCAUGUAAUUUUUGUAAGAAAAACAUGUCAGCUACCAGAACAGGUAUCUUGAAAGAUUAAUCUAAUUUUAUUUAAUUCAGUUUAUUUUCCCUUUUACAGCAGCAUGACUAAAUCAUCUUUUUAAAGCAAUUGAAACUGGUAGCGUAUUUUAAUAAAAAUGUAAAUACUUUCUUACUUUUAUUCAUAAUAAAGUUGUCAAAGCAUU